Molecule: ribosomal RNA, 1456 nt
Filed under: uncultured Bordetella sp.
Lineage: Bacteria; Pseudomonadati; Pseudomonadota; Betaproteobacteria; Burkholderiales; Alcaligenaceae
Description: partial 16S-23S ribosomal RNA intergenic spacer
Rfam family: Bacterial small subunit ribosomal RNA
Source: RNAcentral
GGUUCGAUUCUGGCUCAGAUUGAACGCUGGCGGAUGCUUUACACAUGCAAGUCGAACGGCAGCACGGACUUCGGUCUGGUGGCGAGUGGCGAACGGGUGAGUAAUGUAUCGGAACGUGCCUAGUAGCGGGGGAUAACUACGCGAAAGCGUAGCUAAUACCGCAUACGCCCUUCGGGGAAAGCGGGGGGACCGGGCUCCCGACUAUUAGAGCGGCCGAUAUCGGAUUAGCUAGUUGGUGGGGUGAAUGGCUCAUCGGCAGCGACGAUCCGUAGCUGGUUUGAGAGGACGGACCAGCCACACUGGGACCGAGACACGGCCCAGACCCCUACGGGAGGCAGCAGUGGGGAAUUUUGGAUAAUGGGGAAACCCUGAUCCAGCCAUCCUGCGCAGGCAUGAAGGCCUUCGGGUUGUAAAGCACUUUUGGCAGGAAGAAACGGCAUCGAUAAUACCCGUGCAACUGACGGUACCUGCAGAAUAAGCACCGGCCAACUACGCAGCCAGCAGCCGCGGUAAUACGUAGGCAAGCGUUAAUCGGAAUUACUGGGCGGAAGCGUGCGCAGGCGGUUCGGAAAGAAGAUGUGAAAUCCCAGAGCUUAACUUUGGAACUGCAUUUUUAACUACCGAGCUGAGUGUGUUUAUGGGAGGUGGAAUUCGCGUGUAGCAGGAAUGCGUAGAUAUGCGUGGAGGAACACCGAUGGCGAAGGCAGCCUCCUGGGAGAACACUGACGGCUCAUGCACGAAAGGUAGAGUAAACAGAGAUUAGAUACUCCUGUAGUCCACGCCUGAAACGAUGCUCAAUCAGCUGUUGGGGCCUUCGGGCCUUGGUAGCGCAGCUAACGCGUGAAGUUGACCGCCUGGGGAGUACGGUCGCAAGAUUAAAACUCAAAGGAAUUGACGGGGACCCGCACAGCGUGGAUGAUGUGGAUUAAUUCGAUGCAACGCGAAAAACCUUACCUACCUGACAAACUUAAUCCUGAAGAGAUUUGGGAGUGCUCAAAGAGAACCAACACAGGUGCUGUACGGCUGUCGUCAGCUCGUGUCGUGAGAUGUUGGGUUAAGUCCCGCAACGAGCGCAAACCUUACGGCUUAGCAUGAAAGGGCACUCUAAUGAGACUGCCGGUGACAAACCGGAGGAAGGUGGGGAUGACGUCAAGUCCUCAUGGCCCUUAUGGGUAGGGCUUCGUGACAGUUGGUACAAUGGUCGGGACAGAGGGUCGCCAACCCGCGAGGGGAGCCAAUCCCAGAAACCCGAUCGUAGUCCGGAUCGCAGUCUGCAACUCGACUGCGUGAAGUCGGAAUCGCGAAAUUCGACCAGCACAUUGUGGUGAACACAGUUCUGGCCUGUACACACCGCCCGUCACACCAUGGGAGGUUUUACCAGAAGUAGUUAGGUCAACCGUAAGGAGGGCGAUUACCACGGUAGGAUUCAUGACUGGGGUGAAGUCGUAAUGGCAGC